Molecule: unclassified non-coding RNA, 252 nt
Filed under: uncultured fungus
Lineage: Eukaryota; Fungi
Description: sequence contains ITS1
Source: RNAcentral
UUAAGUUGUCAUUCGACUUUUCGUUCAGACCGCAAUCAAGCUUCUUUCCGCAGAGUAGUUUCGCUGGAGCCGCCGGCAGACUGACCCGUCCCCGCGCCGCGGGGGUACCGCGGCGGGGGGAGGAGCUGCCGAAGCAACCGGGGCUUUUCACAAGGGGUUUCACGCUGACCGCGGGCCGGAACCACGCGGCAGGUGCGGGAGCGGGGCUCCCGGUAUUCGGUAAUGAUCCUUCCGCAGGUUCACCUACGGAAA